RNAcentral lists this ribosomal RNA (408 nucleotides) under uncultured bacterium. Its description in RNAcentral is "partial 16S ribosomal RNA". It matches the Rfam family "Bacterial small subunit ribosomal RNA", at positions 28 to 526 of the family's 1533-position model. The record is from RNAcentral.
GACGAACGCUGACGGCGUGCUUAACACAUGCAAGUCGAAGGGAGUGGCGAACGGGUGAGUAACACGUGAGUAACCUGCCCUUUUCUUUGGGAUAAGCCUGGGAAACUGAGUCUAAUACUGGAUGGAUUGGGAUGGGCUCGCGGCUUGUCAGCUGGUUGGUGGGGAGAUGGCUUACCAAGGCUUUGACGGGUAGCCGGCCUGAGAGGGGGGUCGGUCACACUGGGACUGAGAUACGGCCCAGGCUCGUAGGGGGGGCGGCAGUUGGGGAAAUGGCACAAUGGACGAUAGUCUGAUGCAGCGACGUCGUGUGGGGGAUGAGGGCCUUAGGGUUGUAACCUCCUUUCGCACGGGUAAUGGUAGUGGGUAAAGAAGCGCCGGCUAACUACGUGCCAGCAGCCGCGGUAAUUC